UAGGCUUUUGAUCAUCUCCACUGAAGUUUUCAGAGGGCUCAACAUAGUUGCUUGUUUCUCCAUGGUAGUAGUUCACAGGAAGGGAAGCAUUUUCAGAUGAAACUCCACCAUCAAAAUUCUGGUCAAGCUCAUUUGUUUCCUCAUAUAUAUCAUCACCAAGCACCACUUCAUCAGCCACCACCAUUUCCUCACCUGGUAACAACACACCCACCACUUCAUCAUCAUCCCAUUCCUCCUCAACAAAUGGUGCCCCAUAUUGCUCCCCAUUCUUUGGCCCUGUUCCACUCUUUUGGAAUAUCCUACACAGCACAAAUGCAUCUUGAACAAUUCCAGCUUUCUCCAAAUCCUCAUCAGCAAGGCGGUUGCAUUACCCAAUUGGUACGCUCACCACGUGGAGCCCGUCCAAGAUGGUACACAAGGGUCUUCUUCAUCCCCACAGUUCGCAAGUUCCAGCGCACAGGGCGGUCCUUCCCAGUUGUCUUCCAGUAUCCUUUCUCUGUGGCCCGGUUUGUCUUGGAACCAUUGCCAUACUUCUUAUCCAGCAUACUAAAAAAGUACCACUCUAAAUCCCUGCUCUUCAACUU
RNAcentral lists this unclassified non-coding RNA (584 nucleotides) under Hevea brasiliensis (rubber tree). The record is from RNAcentral. Lineage: Eukaryota; Viridiplantae; Streptophyta; Magnoliopsida; Malpighiales; Euphorbiaceae.